UUACUUGUAGAUUUUCCAUAGGCAUCUGGUUGGCCACAGUGAGAACAGGAUGCUGGACUAGAUGGCUCGAUCCAGCAGGCUCUUAUAUAUAUGUUAUGUAUCCUGUUAGGCGUUUGUUGGAAGAUCCUUUGAAUACCUUGCUCUUUUGAAAUCUGGCAGUGGGUUGAUGCUUUGGUCUAGGUGCUAGUGCAGGCAUCCCCAACCUUCAGCCCUCCAGAUGUUUUGGACUACAAUUCCCAUCACCCCUGACCACUGGUCCUGUUAGAUCAUGGGAGUUGUAGGCCAAAACAUCUGGAGUGUCGCAGGUUGGGUAUGCCUGUGCUAGUGCUAUCUGAUAUUAGUUUAGCUAGCAAGGAGGCUGGAGAAUUUUUAGCCAUGUCAUUCACAUUUAGAAUUCUCUCCCUAGAGCAUUUCAUUCCAUACUGGCUUUCAGAAAAUUUGUGAACAAAUAAACCUUUUGUAUGGGUGUGUACUUGGAUAUUGAUCAUGGUCUUGCAAUAGGUCGUGGUGGUUUUUUAGCCUGCCGUGGUGUUCUAACAAUUAGACUGCUAUGGUUGUUGAAUGGCUUCUGGUUUUAUUGAUGUGUUUAACUGGCUGGUUUAUUGAUUGUUGUAAUGCCAUGUUUGCUACCGUAAGGGCACAUUAUGGAGCCAUGUGUUGGCUAUAAAUCUCGAACAUGAAUAAAUAAAAAUAAAUCAGCCCAACCUUAAGAAUUGGGGUUCCCAACCUAAUUAAAUCAAAGUACUCAGAUUUAAGGCUAUUUAGUUGUCACUGAAGUAGCUAGGACCAAUCAACACUUCAGCUCCACAGACUGUGUCUUAAGAAAAGCACUAACAGCUAGAUGUAGGUAUCCCAUGACAAUGCAGUAAGGGUUGUGGAGAAGAAGGUGCAAGUAGAAGACCAUGCUCAAGUGCAUCAUGCUUUUGAGGAGGACUUAGCAGAUUUGAAGCCUUGUUGCUGCUGCUCCUACAAUGUGCAUCAGCCAGAGCAUUAAAGCUGCCACAAUAAGUGAGGUUUACUUUCCAAUUGGUAAAUGGGCUGCAAUAAGAUUUUGACUUUGAAAAGAGCACAUAUCCCAGUUGGCAACCCAGUUGGCAACUAAAGGGCUUGAUUUUAAAAAUUAUGUAAUCCCAUUCAUGCCAAUGAGCUCAAAUCACAUUAAAUCCAAAUCCCCUGCCUUAACUGAAGUGUCGAUUGGUCCUAGCUACUUCAGUGACAACUAAAUAGCCUUAAAUCUGAGUACUUUGAUUUAAUUAGGUUGGGAAUCCCAUGAGAGACACUUAUUUUGCUGGACUCAUUUUCUGGUUAUCAAACAAGAGAACAACAGAAUGACCAUUCCCUGGGCACUUUGAGGAUGACUUGUUAAAGAGAGAUAUAUUUAUUUCUUAAGACUUUUGGAAUCACAUUGUUAUCCAUGCUGAGCAGUGGCGCAGUGUGUCCUGAUCCCGAGUCUCUGAAGCAUUUCAAGCCUGGGAAUGUCACAUUUACCAUGAACGGAUAGGGGAAGGAUGUACACACACCCCAAAAAAAAACCAGGGUGGGGGGAAAGAAUCUUUUCCGUAGUGAGAAGAAUAAAACUGGUUUCUUUUCUCUUUUUUCCUUGCUAAGAGAUUCCUGCUGUGUAGGGUUAAAUGUAGGUCAAGCUGUCUGAGCUUGUGUCUGCGAUCUGCAGCACACUCAACACUAGAUUAAAUUGGGAUUUUCCACUUACUCAACUGUCAAUCUCCGUAAUAUCGGUAAAAGUUAAAUUAAUCAGGAGUGAGCAGGGCCUGGCUCUCAAGGGGGCUUCUUGAGCUCCGGGGUGUUGCUUAGGCUUGUUGCAGGGAGGGGGAAAGAUAUGGUUUCUGUCACUAAGAUACUGCUGUGUUCUGGCUGUUUGCCUAGAAGCUUCAGAAUCUCAGAGAGAAAGAAAAAAUGUGCCGUUGUUAACACAGAUCAGCAGAGCUGUUGGUUUUUCUUUCCAAGCACUAAUGCCACACAAUUUGCAUGAGAGGCCCACAAAAAAAUGCCCAUUUGCGUUCUCUUGGAUAAAUCAGGUUGCACUGCUUUCUUAUGUUUGCUUUGUCCUGUAGUGUUGACAUCUCUAAACACAAUAAUGUAAGAACCUGCCUUAUGCAGAAUUAAGACCAUUGGUCCAUCUACUUCAGUACUGCUAUUCUCUUUAUUCCCAAAACAGCUUAUUUACCAAGCCCAAUGGAAAACUGAGCUGGGGAAGGAGAUUCACCCAUUACAAUGGAAUCUAUAAAAUGAAGCUUUGGGGGACAGGGAGAAGAAAUCAACUCUCUCAAAAGUGUUGUUGGAAGAUAUACCCAGAGGAUUCAGUAAAACAAGCCUGCCACUUGCCAAAGGGAACAUUUAGAAGAUACUUAUUUUGUCUUACCAGUUUCUAAAAGUACCAUACAUAAAAACUAAAAACCAUCUAAAAGAAGUAGAAGAUGGCUUGUAAAACCAGUAGUUGCAGGUUUCAUCUGACAACAAAGCGCAUGAAAAUCGCACUCAAAUAUGCUAGUUGACAUGCAAUGGGGCUUUUUGAUCCAGUUUCCGUGGAAACUCAACUGCAUCAAUGAAAAUAAACUACGGUGGCAGCAAGAGGCCAGAUAUGUCUGAUCUAAGGACGAUGCUGAACAUGGUCCCUGCACACAAGGUCUGCACUUUUUACCUGGUUAUAGCCUAGCUGUCCUUUGGGACAAAGAAAAGAGAACAAGGCAGACCAAUAUAUUUCUUAAUGACACCAAACACUUCUUCUAGAGCAUAAGCAAUGCCACAGUGCAUACUACACUAGAAAGAGACAGGCAAGUACAUGCAGGAUUCCAUUAAAAGCCACACAUGACAAAUUCAAAGAGAGAGAAAAUAGCCUUUAAAAAAGCAAGCCAACAAAUAAAAUAGUAACUAAUGCAAGAAACACACUUUUUUGGGGGGGAGGGGUGCCAACCAGUGGGGAAAUGUCCUGACAGUUCAAAAUAAGCAGAAAAACAACUAAGUUAGGACCACUAAGUUUUACAACUUUUUGCAUACUCAAAUCUUCCUCACUUCUUUUUACUGAGGAGACACAGGACGAAUAUUUGCUAUACAGCAUAGCGUAAAGUAAGAAAGAUGAUCAGAAACGUCUAUGAAAUUGCCCAGGGUUACCAUGACAAACCAGGCUUUCCAGACUGGGCUACGUCCAUAAAGAAACACUUAGCCUGUAUCAUGGCACACUUUAAAUCCUGACAGAACUCCCCCCCCCAUGCAUGUUGUCCCCAACAACUUUAAGCAGGUGCAUUUAGAUUUUUUAUUUCCAUUUUAUUGAUUACUGUAUGUAUGCAACUGACCAAUUUGAUUGCUUGAUUAGAUACAAUAAUUCAGCUUCAGAAACAAAUCCUUGAAAAGAUACUAAGCCAUGCACAGGGUCUUCCAGUUUACAAAAGCUUUCCCUGUUAGGAAGAGAUGCUGACUUGCCACAAGCAACUAGGCUUGUGGCUGAAGUUGUAGCAGCAGUAGCAAAGAAUAAUACUUUUCCAACUCCCUUUGGAUUUAGAGCCCCCCCCCAAUGUCACUGGAGCUUCAGAGAACGCCCUUCCUGUCCUGCUCCCAGCAGUCAAGGAAACUUCCAAAGGGAAAUGUUACUGCACAAUUAUUGUGAAGUUCUAGUUCUGUAAAGACCUAGGAAACAUUUUUAUGAAACUCUUUUGGGGGAAAGAAUAUUAUGGAAAGAAUGAAUUUUGGCAAUACACAAACAGCAAGACACCUGCUAGUUCUCUUAAAUGACACAAUAUACGUCACUAUACAAUGGCUUACAGCAAGAGUAUGCAGCGUGGAACAAAAGAUGCAUGUUUCUUCUUGCCUGUUGGGCAAUCCCAUUAUUUAUUACCACUGUAAAAUAGAUCAUUGAUUACAAAGCUGUCACAGAUGUUUUACCUGAACUUCAAUCCGGGCAUCAUUGAACUAAACCCUGGCAAGUUUCUCUGAACACAUUAUUUAUCAUCAUCAUCAUUAUUCCCCCCGCCCCUUCAGUCUCAGGGCAGGUUACAGUUAAAACACAAUAUUAAAAACAGUACAAAACAACAUAUAAUCACAGAAAAAGCUGGGCCCUCAAAAAUAUGCAUCUCAAGUGUCAAAAGCCAAAGUAAAGAGGUGAGUCUUCAGCAUUCGCUGAAAGCUGUAUAAUGAAGGUGCCAGGCAUAUCUCUGCAAGGAGGGAAUUCUACAACUUUGGGGCCACCACAGAGCAUGCCCUUUCCAGGGGCACACACACCCCCAACUGAGCUUGAGAGGGCAUGGGAGCUACCUCUCAGGUACUCAGAUCAGCAGACAGGGUUCUAAUGGCCACAGCAACAGAAACUUCUGCAAGCAGGAAGCCUUUGCACAUAUGGCUGAAUGUGCAAAGACUUCCUUCCUAAAAAAAACAGUCGUCAGGGAGCAAGGCUAGAAACAGCACCUGAAGAUACAAAGGACAGGAUUCAAACAAAAUGAAUUUAUCUCUGGGUUAGUUUUUUGCCAAGGAGAUAAAUAUAUAAGCAAGAAAAGGUACUGACCCAGUUAUACCAUUUCACCUAUUUUGUUUUAGCAGUAGGCAUUAGUCCACUGUAUAGAGCAUGCAGAAGAUCCCAGAUAUCAGAGCUUGGGGGGAAAACCUCCACCUAAGAGCUGCUGCCAGCCAAAGUAGACAAUGCUAAGCUAGAUGGAUGAAUAGUCCGACUUCAUAGGAGGCAUGGUUUCCAUGUUCAUAUAGUGAUUCUAUUCAAAACUGCUCAAGGGGCAUGUUUCUCUCUGCCACCCCUAGACAGUGGGGCAUCUUGAAAUUGUACAAGAAAGAGCUGCAGUUAUUAGAGGCAGAACUGGUAGAGCAGUUCAAAGUAGCAAGAGAAAAAAGGAACAAAUCUUGCAUUUUUCUAAGGAAUAUUAAACAUGAAAUCAGAAAGGGAAUAUUCAGAAUUUGGAGGUAGGGGGAGGAGGGAAAGAAAAGGCUGCCUAGCCCUAACCGUACAACUACAUUAGAGCUAACCAGAAAGACUUUUGCUAAAUUCACUCAACUCUGCCAAGAAAAAAAAUGACUGUUUUCUUUCAGAUAUGUCAUAUUUUUAAAUCUUGCUCCCCCUCACCCAAGACUCUAAGGCUUCUUCUGUUAAGGGAAGCUGCAGCGGCUUUCAGGCAUUAUUAGUCAGCAAACAUUCUAAAUCCGGAAUCAGGAUAUGCACACACAUAAUUACUUUCCCCACAAUCAACUACCCAGUCAUUAUCACCAAUUAAAAAGAAAUAAGGCCUUCAAAAUUCUUUAAAUAAAAUAAAAAGAUUGACAAUUUAAUAGAAUUUUAAAGGGUUGUUUGUUUUUUGCUGUUGUUUUUAAACACGAUUUCACGAUACAUCUCUGCAACUGCUUUUUCCAAUUCCGUCAUCUUAAUCAGACAACAUAAAGGCCUAGUCACUGGAGGCUUCCGGUUCACGGUGGUUGUUCAAGAUCUAAGCAGUGAGGCAGAUAAUAUCUAAUUCGUUGGAUACUUGAUACCUCUCAGUCACUAAGGAUGGCCACAGUUAAAACUUCCUUUUAGACUCUGAAUACAACCAGUGAAAAAAAUGCCAGACUGAGAGCCCAGAUCACACCUGAUUACUUCAACCCAACCUGAUUACAGUGGUACCUCAGGUUACAUACGCUUCAGGUUACAGACUCCACUAACCCAGAAAUAUUACCUCGGGUUAAGAACUUUGCUUCA
Molecule: non-coding RNA, 5689 nt
Organism: Podarcis muralis (Common wall lizard)
Lineage: Eukaryota; Metazoa; Chordata; Lepidosauria; Squamata; Lacertidae
Source: RefSeq, a predicted model, not a curated record